GUAAUGGUGUCUUUAGACACCACCUUUUUUUAUUUGAAUUUAUUC
Molecule: non-coding RNA, 45 nt
Organism: Picea glauca (white spruce)
Lineage: Eukaryota; Viridiplantae; Streptophyta; Pinopsida; Pinales; Pinaceae
Source: Rfam